Long non-coding RNA from Cynoglossus semilaevis (tongue sole), 1892 nucleotides. RefSeq lists it as uncharacterized. Lineage: Eukaryota; Metazoa; Chordata; Actinopteri; Pleuronectiformes; Cynoglossidae. The transcript has 8 exons. The record is from RefSeq and is a predicted model, not a curated record.
AAACAACUAUUUAAAAUGAUCUUUAUCACAUUAGGAAUUUGUCUUUGAGGCUUUCAAAGCUGCUGGGAUUUUUACUAAAAUUAAAAAUUUUACUGGAAGGUUAAUAGAAGUGCUGAGAUGACUUUAACAAUAUUCUCAAUGUCAUGUAUCAAACUCCCUGAAAAAUUUUGAAUCAGAAAGCAGCUUAAAGCAUUAACUCAUGUCCAGACCCACAGUCCCCGCCCCUUAGCUUGAUGCUCCAGGAAGUUGCCAGACUUCGUUUGUCGCAACAGCCUUGCUUAGGCUUUGGACAUGAACUAGUAAAGCUUAGAAACAGAGAGCAUUCUGAGUGCUCUGUUAUAGAAAAGUGAAGUGAAGUAUUUGUUGUAUGAAAUAUUUGUACGAUAAAUAAAGUAGAUCAACGAUUGCAGCAAGUGUUGAGGAUAAAAACCAGCGUGUGUCCAGAGGAGUUGACGUGUCUCUUACCCUUUCCACAGGUAGAUGGUUCCCUGACAGCGGCACGUUCCCUGGUACUGAGUGGUUACACUGAACACAACCUCAUUAGGACCGUCCUGCAGCUGCAGAGACAUCUGCGUGACACGCCUCCUGAUGCAAGCGCGCCCUCUGAUUGGAUGGUGGAGGAAUGCUGGGUGUCUGCUCUGUUGUCUUCAUCACUUGAGGAAGACUCCUCCUUAUAUCUGUUGUUCAGAGUGAGAGGUGGAUGUUAAUGGACUGGAGAAACACAGCCAUGUUUCACAUUACUUGGCUGUGACAGUCCUAACCAGGAAUAUCUCUUACCUUUGGCAGAGGUUUCUGAAAAGCCUGCAUAGCCAGCAUAAGUGGAGCUGCAGUACUCCAGUUAUAGUACCUGAGGGACAGAAUCAAGAAUAUUUAUAGUGAUUCCUUGAAAAGAAAAAGUCAAACAGAAACAUUUAAGUCAAGUCCAGUGGUCACGACUUACUUGGAACCGAUUUUUACAACCAAGUUGGGAUCGUCGAUGAUGGAGGGAUUCUCUGAAAACUGCUGUAAGUCCACCACACAGAGAGAUGGCGAUGGACGGCAGUUCAGACAUGUGAUCACAGAAGGUGUCCACUCCACUGUCUCCCCCCGAGCUGACUGACUGUGGGGACAAACUUGUGCUGUGGAGACCCGGGUCUGACAUGCUCCUCACGGCUGCUCCUCCAUCACUACAGAUAAGAGGCGUUUGAAAGAAUCAGCAAACAGUGACUUUUCCUUCACAAAGAAUGCCUCUCCAUUGUCUCCAAGCUUCAUGUGCAGAGCCACUGCUUCUCCAUUGAUCAUAAUGUCCACCUGAAGAAACAGUUUCUCUCUGGAUCUGAGGACGCCCAUCUUGCCGAAGCGAACAUGAAAAGGCGAGCAUUGCAGGGAGCCAUCAGGCUGCCUGACUACAAUUACGUCAAUGCAGCCUGAGAGGGUGGCGGGAUUGAGGCCUCGAUACAACUCUUUGACCUGGACAAAGACCUGGCCCGCCAACUGGCCCACGUAGUUCAUGGUCUGACGGGUCUGUUAGAGGGAGACAUGAAAGUGGAAGAACAAUUAAACAAAUGGCAGCUCAUCUUACUAGGAUUUUGCAAGAUAUCUUAGGCCUUGAUGUGUUUGUUUGUACUAGUUUAAAAUGUGUCUGACAUGUUUAUUACAUUAAGUAAAAAAGGAAAUAUACAUGUUUGUCAUGAAAUAAUCUUUAGUCUUGGCCUCAUUUUAACUGAGAACUGGAACAUUUAAGUUUGCAUACCGUUGUCUAUUCAGACCAGAUGCUUGUACGAACCUAAUCUUGGAAUGUACAUAUUUUUGUACUGAUUUAGUUUUUUUCAUGUCAAAUAUUUGCCCCUAUAUUUCACAUUUUUCAGUUUUGGUUCCAGACAUUCAGGAGAUUUAAAAUUCACUUUACCCAA